Molecule: ribosomal RNA, 517 nt
Filed under: uncultured Flavobacterium sp.
Lineage: Bacteria; Pseudomonadati; Bacteroidota; Flavobacteriia; Flavobacteriales; Flavobacteriaceae
Description: bacterial SSU rRNA
Rfam family: Bacterial small subunit ribosomal RNA
Source: RNAcentral
GAGUUUGAUCAUGGCUCAGGAUGAACGCUAGCGGCAGGCUUAACACAUGCAAGUCGAGGGGUAUAUGGUGCUUGCACCAUAGAGACCGGCGCACGGGUGCGUAACGCGUAUGCAACCUACCCUGAACAGGGGGAUAGCCCAGAGAAAUUUGGAUUAAUACCCCAUGGUAUAUUUAAAUGGCAUCAUUUGAUUAUUAAAGUUCCAACGGUUCAGGAUGGGCAUGCGUCCCAUUAGCUAGUUGGUAAGGUAACGGCUUACCAAGGCGACGAUGGGUAGGGGUCCUGAGAGGGAGAUCCCCCACACUGGUACUGAGACACGGACCAGACUCCUACGGGAGCAGCAGUGAGGAAUAUUGGUCAAUGGGCGCAAGCCUGAACCAGCCAUGCCGCGUGCAGGAUGACGGCCCUAUGGGUUGUAAACUGCUUUUGUACGGGAAGAACACCGGUUCGUGAACCGGCUUGACGGUACCGUAAGAAUAAGGAUCGGCUAACUCCGUGCCAGCAGCCGCCGCUGUAAU